RNAcentral lists this transfer-messenger RNA (355 nucleotides) under Eubacteriaceae bacterium. It matches the Rfam family "transfer-messenger RNA". From Rfam's summary of the family: Bacterial tmRNA, also known as 10Sa RNA or SsrA, is named for its dual tRNA and mRNA-like properties. Its role is to liberate the mRNA from a stalled ribosome. To accomplish this part of the tmRNA is used as a reading frame that ends in a translation stop signal. Lineage: Bacteria; Bacillati; Bacillota; Clostridia; Eubacteriales; Eubacteriaceae. The record is from RNAcentral.
GGGGGCGUACUGGUUUCGACGGGGGUGUUGAAGCAAGAGUAGCGAGUAGUGGAUUCUGGGGCCACUAUAAAACCUGGAGCUUAAAUAUAAACGCUAAAAACGAUAAUUUAGCUUUAGCAGCUUAGAAAGCUGCUAACGUUCUACUAAUCAUUCCCGCAUGAUUAGAUAGGGCGCCGACUUAGCGGGGACCUGCUUACCCAAAGCUUUGAGGGAAAGUAGAAUAGAUGAAGCUAGCGUAGCCUGAAUCCUGUUGGUUGGAGUCAGGUGAGGCGAAUCUAAAAAGAACCAACUGCACUCGGAGAAGCUCUAGUGGAUAUGCUUUCGGACAGGGGUUCAACUCCCCUCGCCUCCACCA